UGCAGUCGAGCGGUAGAGAGAAGCUUGCUUCUCUUGAGAGCGGCGGACGGGUGAGUAAUGCCUAGGAAUCUGCCUGGUAGUGGGGGAUAACGUUCGGAAACGGACGCUAAUACCGCAUACGUCCUACGGGAGAAAGCAGGGGACCUUCGGGCCUUGCGCUAUCAGAUGAGCCUAGGUCGGAUUAGCUAGUUGGUGAGGUAAUGGCUCACCAAGGCGACGAUCCGUAACUGGUCUGAGAGGAUGAUCAGUCACACUGGAACUGAGACACGGUCCAGACUCCUACGGGAGGCAGCAGUGGGGAAUAUUGGACAAUGGGCGAAAGCCUGAUCCAGCCAUGCCGCGUGUGUGAAGAAGGUCUUCGGAUUGUAAAGCACUUUAAGUUGGGAGGAAGGGCAGUUACCUAAUACGUGAUUGUUUUGACGUUACCGACAGAAUAAGCACCGGCUAACUCUGUGCCAGCAGCCGCGGUAAUACAGAGGGUGCAAGCGUUAAUCGGAAUUACUGGGCGUAAAGCGCGCGUA
RNAcentral lists this ribosomal RNA (521 nucleotides) under Pseudomonas sp. RNAcentral describes it as "bacterial SSU rRNA". It matches the Rfam family "Bacterial small subunit ribosomal RNA", at positions 56 to 573 of the family's 1533-position model. The record is from RNAcentral. Lineage: Bacteria; Pseudomonadati; Pseudomonadota; Gammaproteobacteria; Pseudomonadales; Pseudomonadaceae.